AUUGAACGCUGGCGGCAUGCCUUACACAUGCAAGUCGAACGGCAGCACGGGGGCAACCCUGGUGGCGAGUGGCGAACGGGUGAGUAACACAUCGGAACGUGCCCAGUAGUGGGGGAUAGCUCGGCGAAAGCCGGAUUAAUACCGCAUACGACCUACGGGUGAAAGCGGGGGAUCGCAAGACCUCGCGCUAUCGGAGCGGCCGAUGUCAGAUUAGGUUGUUGGGGGGUAAAGGCCUACCAAGCCGACGAUCUGUAGCUGGUCUGAGAGGACGACCAGCCACACUGGGACUGAGACACGGCCCAGACUCCUACGGGAGGCAGCAGUGGGGAAUUUUGGACAAUGGGCGCAAGCCUGAUCCAGCCAUGCCGCGUGCGGGAAGAAGGCCUCGGUU
Molecule: ribosomal RNA, 391 nt
Filed under: uncultured bacterium
Lineage: Bacteria
Description: bacterial SSU rRNA
Rfam family: Bacterial small subunit ribosomal RNA
Source: RNAcentral